Molecule: ribosomal RNA, 274 nt
Filed under: uncultured bacterium
Lineage: Bacteria
Description: partial 16S ribosomal RNA
Rfam family: Bacterial small subunit ribosomal RNA
Source: RNAcentral
AUACGGAGGGUGCAAGCGUUGUUCGGAAUCACUGGGCGUAAAGGGCGCGCAGGCGGUUUGGUAAGUCAGAUGUGAAAGCCCACGGCUCAACCGUGGAAGUGCAUUUGAAACUGCCAGACUUGAGUACCAGAGGGGAAAGUGGAAUUCCCGGUGUAGAGGUGAAAUUCGUAGAUAUCGGGAGGAAUACCGGUGGCGAAGUCGACUUUCUGGCUGGAUACUGACGCUGAGGCGCGAAAGCGUGGGGAGCAAACAGGAUUAGAAACCCCUGUAGUCC